This 447-nucleotide ribosomal RNA is filed under the name uncultured bacterium. RNAcentral's name for it is "bacterial SSU rRNA". It matches the Rfam family "Bacterial small subunit ribosomal RNA", at positions 355 to 825 of the family's 1533-position model. The record is from RNAcentral.
UCGGGAAUUUUGGGCAAUGGGCGAAAGCCUGACCCAGCAACGCCGCGUGAAGGAUGAAGUAUUUCGGUAUGUAAACUUCGAAAGAAUAGGAAGAAUAAAUGACGGUACUAUUUAUAAGGUCCGGCUAACUACGUGCCAGCAGCCGCGGUAAUACGUAGGGACCAAGCGUUGUUCGGAUUUACUGGGCGUAAAGGGCGCGUAGGCGGCAAUUCAAGUCAUCUGUGAAAUCUCCGGGCUUAACUCGGAACGGUCAGCUGAUACUGUCAAACUAGAGUACAGAAGGGGCAAUCGGAAUUCUUGGUGUAGCGGUGAAAUGCGUAGAUAUCAAGAGGAACACCUGAGGUGAAGACGGGUUGCUGGGCUGACACUGACGCUGAGGCGCGAAAGCCAGGGGAGCAAACGGGAUUAGAUACCCAAGUAGUCCCUGAGCGGGCUGGCAAGGCGCAU